UACGAAGGGAGCUAGCGUUGCUCGGAAUCACUGGGCGUAAAGCGCACGUAGGCGGCUUCUUAAGUCAGGGGUGAAAUCCUGGAGCUCAACUCCAGAACUGCCCUUGAUACUGAGGAGCUCGAGUCCGGAAGAGGUGAGUGGAACUGCGAGUGUAGAGGUGAAAUUCGUAGAUAUUCGCAAGAACACCAGUGGCGAAGGCGGCUCACUGGUCCGGUACUGACGCUGAGGUACGAAAGCGUGGGGAGCAAACAGG
Molecule: ribosomal RNA, 253 nt
Filed under: uncultured bacterium
Lineage: Bacteria
Description: partial 16S ribosomal RNA
Rfam family: Bacterial small subunit ribosomal RNA
Source: RNAcentral